This is a long non-coding RNA of Oncorhynchus tshawytscha (Chinook salmon), 749 nucleotides long. NCBI's taxonomy places the organism in Eukaryota, Metazoa, Chordata, Actinopteri, Salmoniformes, Salmonidae. The record is from Ensembl.
GCCCGCUUAAUGGCAGCGGGAAGUCGAUGAUACUCGGCGGCACCGCUCGUUAGCCGUGUCCACACCGCUUUCAUGCUACAUUGCCCAGUUGGUGCAACAACAGAGGGUCAUCAGCGGUGUGAUGGGAGGAGAGAUGGGCCCAAAGUUAGUGGUGGUGUGGGCAGGACCAGCUGUCGCAGGUGGAGGUCUGGAGCCAAGUGGAAGGUGUCCUUAAAGAGGUGUGUGAGGGGUCGAAGGUCAGCUACCUGCAGGCUGAUGUUCCUCCCGGGCCAGGUGCAUGGCGUGCUCCACUACGCACUGGUUCUGCAGCUGGGACAGGGAGCAGGUGGAGUAGACGACCUCUCCCCCCGGACGAACUGCCUCGAUACCAGGAGGAGUUCUAUCUGCAGCAGAGGCAGCCUCCUCUUUGUCCUGGCCCUCUUGAAGAUGUUGUUCUCCACCAGCUUCACCUGGAAUGCUUUUCCUACAGCCUUGAAGGAAUUCCCACAUAUGCUGAGCACUUGUUGGCUGCUUUUCAUUCACUCUGUGGUCCAACUCAUCCCAAACCAUCUCAACUGAGUUGAGUACGGGUGAUUGUGGAGGGCAGGUCAUCUGAUGCAGCACUCCAUCACUUUCCUUCUUGUUCAAAUAGCAGAUUACACAGCCUGGAGGUGUGUUGGGUCAUUGUCCUGUUGAAAAACAAAUGAUAGUCUGAUAAGGGAAUUAUAUGCUUAAAGGUAAUGAUUAAAGAAUUCCACCCUGAAACAUAA